This 567-nucleotide ribosomal RNA is filed under the name uncultured bacterium. RNAcentral's name for it is "partial 16S ribosomal RNA". It matches the Rfam family "Bacterial small subunit ribosomal RNA", at positions 355 to 914 of the family's 1533-position model. The record is from RNAcentral.
UGGGGAAUUUUGGACAAUGGGGGCAACCCUGAUCCAGCCAUGCCGCGUGUGCGAAGAAGGCCUUCGGGUUGUAAAGCACUUUUGGCAGGAAAGAAACGGCGCCGGCUAAUAUUCUGGCGUAACUGACGGUACCUGCAGAAUAAGCACCGGCUAACUACGUGCCAGCAGCCGCGGUAAUACGUAGGGUGCAAGCGUUAAUCGGAAUUACUGGGCGUAAAGCGUGCGCAGGCGGUUCGGAAAGAAAGAUGUGAAAUCCCAGGGCUCAACCUUGGAACUGCAUUUUUAACUCCCGAACUAGAGUGUGUCAGAGGGGGGUGGAAUUCCACGUGUAGCAGUGAAAUGCGUAGAUAUGUGGAGGAACACCGAUGGCGAAGGCAGCCCCCUGGGAUAACACUGACGCUCAUGCACGAAAGCGUGGGGAGCAAACAGGAUUAGAUACCCUGGUAGUCCACGCCCUAAACGAUGUCAACUAGCUGUUGGGUUCUUCGGAGCUUGGUAGCGCAGCUAACGCGUGAAGUUGACCGCCUGGGGAGUACGGUCGCAAGAUUAAAACUCAAAUGAAUUGAC